Molecule: ribosomal RNA, 253 nt
Filed under: uncultured bacterium
Lineage: Bacteria
Description: partial 16S ribosomal RNA
Rfam family: Bacterial small subunit ribosomal RNA
Source: RNAcentral
UACGUGGGGUGCGAGCGUUAAUCGGAAUUACUGGGCGUAAAGCGUGCGCAGGCGGUUCGUUGUGUCGGCGGUGAAAGCCCCGGGCUUAACCUGGGAAUGGCCGUUGAAACUGGCGAACUGGAGUGUGGCAGAGGGGGGUGGAAUUCCGCGUGUAGCAGUGAAAUGCGUAGAGAUGCGGAGGAACACCGAUGGCGAAGGCAGCCCCCUGGGCUAACACUGACGCUCAGGCACGAAAGCGUGGGGAGCAAACAGG